UUACAUAGCCAUAUGACCCUAUGGACCAAGACUGCUUGCCCACUGAAGCUAAGCAGGGUUAAGCCUGCUCAGACUCUGGAUGGGAGACCUCCUUCUGCUGGAAGCGGUGUUAG
This 113-nucleotide ribosomal RNA is filed under the name Sinocyclocheilus anshuiensis. The record is from RNAcentral. Lineage: Eukaryota; Metazoa; Chordata; Actinopteri; Cypriniformes; Cyprinidae.